AUCCUGUCUGAAUAUGGGGGGACCAUCCUCCAAGGCUAAAUACUCCUGACUGACCGAUAGUGAACCAGUACCGUGAGGGAAAGGCGAAAAGAACCCCGGCGAGGGGAGUGAAAAAGAACCUGAAACCGUGUACGUACAAGCAGUGGGAGCACGCUUAGGCGUGUGACUGCGUACCUUUUGUAUAAUGGGUCAGCGACUUAUAUUCUGUAGCAAGGUUAACCGAAUAGGGGAGCCGAAGGGAAACCGAGUCUUAACUGGGCGUUAAGUUGCAGGGUAUAGACCCGAAACCCGGUGAUCUAGCCAUGGGCAGGUUGAAGGUUGGGUAACACUAACUGGAGGACCGAACCGACUAAUGUUGAAAAAUUAGCGGAUGACUUGUGGCUGGGGGUGAAAGGCCAAUCAAACCGGGAGAUAGCUGGUUCUCCCCGAAAGCUAUUUAGGUAGCGCCUCGUGAAUUCAUCUCCGGGGGUAGAGCACUGUUUCGGCAAGGGGGUCAUCCCGACUUACCAACCCGAUGCAAACUGCGAAUACCGGAGAAUGUUAUCACGGGAGACACACGGCGGGUGCUAACGUCCGUCGUGAAGAGGGAAACAACCCAGACCGCCAGCUAAGGUCCCAAAGUCAUGGUUAAGUGGGAAACGAUGUGGGAAGGCCCAGACAGCCAGGAUGUUGGCUUAGAAGCAGCCAUCAUUUAAAGAAAGCGUAAUAGCUCACUGGUCGAGUCGGCCUGCGCGGAAGAUGUAACGGGGCUAAACCAUGCACCGAAGCUGCGGCAGCGACGCUGAUGCGUUGUUGGGUAGGGGAGCGUUCUGUAAGCCUGCGAAGGUGUGCUGUGAGGCAUGCUGGAGGUAUCAGAAGUGCGAAUGCUGACAUAAGUAACGAUAAAGCGGGUGAAAAGCCCGCUCGCCGGAAGACCAAGGGUUCCUGUCCAACGUUAAUCGGGGCAGGGUGAGUCGACCCCUAAGGCGAGGCCGAAAGGCGUAGUCGAUGGGAAACAGGUUAAUAUUCCUGUACUUGGUGUUACUGCGAAGGGGGGACGGAGAAGGCUAUGUUGGCCGGGCGACGGUUGUCCCGGUUUAAGCGUGUAGGCUGGUUUUCCAGGCAAAUCCGGAAAAUCAAGGCUGAGGCGUGAUGACGAGGCACUACGGUGCUGAAGCAACAAAUGCCCUGCUUCCAGGAAAAGCCUCUAAGCAUCAGGUAACAUCAAAUCGUACCCCAAACCGACACAGGUGGUCAGGUAGAGAAUACCAAGGCGCUUGAGAGAACUCGGGUGAAGGAACUAGGCAAAAUGGUGCCGUAACUUCGGGAGAA
RNAcentral lists this ribosomal RNA (1311 nucleotides) under Escherichia coli. RNAcentral describes it as "partial 23S ribosomal RNA". It matches the Rfam family "Bacterial large subunit ribosomal RNA", at positions 431 to 1744 of the family's 2925-position model. Lineage: Bacteria; Pseudomonadati; Pseudomonadota; Gammaproteobacteria; Enterobacterales; Enterobacteriaceae. The record is from RNAcentral.